Molecule: ribosomal RNA, 1337 nt
Filed under: uncultured bacterium
Lineage: Bacteria
Description: bacterial SSU rRNA
Rfam family: Bacterial small subunit ribosomal RNA
Source: RNAcentral
GACGAACGCUGGCGGCGUGCUUAACAUAUGCAAGUCGAACGGAAAGGCCCUUCGGGGUACUCGAGUGGCGAACGGGUGAGUAACACGUGGGUGAUCUGCCCUGCACUUUGGGAUAAGCCUGGGAAACUGGGUCUAAUACCGAAUAGGACCACGCGCUUCAUGGUGUGUGGUGGAAAGCUUUUGCGGUGUGGGAUGGGCCCGCGGCCUAUCAGCUUGUUGGUGGGGUAAUGGCCUACCAAGGCGACGACGGGUAGCCGGCCUGAGAGGGUGACCGGCCACACUGGGACUGAGAUACGGCCCAGACUCCUACGGGAGGCAGCAGUGGGGAAUAUUGCACAAUGGGCGCAAGCCUGAUGCAGCGACGCCGCGUGAGGGAUGACGGCCUUCGGGUUGUAAACCUCUUUCAAUAGGGACGAAGCGUGAGUGACGGUACCUAUAGAAGAAGCACCGGCCAACUACGUGCCAGCAGCCGCGGUAAUACGUAGGGUGCGAGCGUUGUCCGGAAUUACUGGGCGUAAAGAGCUCGUAGGUGGUUUGUCGCGUUGUUCGUGAAAACUCACAGCUUAACUGUGGGCGUGCGGGCGAUACGGGCAGACUAGAGUACUGCAGGGGAGACUGGAAUUCCUGGUGUAGCGGUGGAAUGCGCAGAUAUCAGGAGGAACACCGGUGGCGAAGGCGGGUCUCUGGGCAGUAACUGACGCUGAGGAGCGAAAGCGUGGGGAGCGAACAGGAUUAGAUACCCUGGUAGUCCACGCCGUAAACGGUGGGUACUAGGUGUGGGUUCCUUCCUUGGGAUCCGUGCCGUAGCUAACGCAUUAAGUACCCCGCCUGGGGAGUACGGCCGCAAGGCUAAAACUCAAAGGAAUUGACGGGGGCCCGCACAAGCGGCGGAGCAUGUGGAUUAAUUCGAUGCAACGCGAAGAACCUUACCUGGGUUUGACAUGCACAGGACGCCGGCAGAGAUGUCGGUUCCCUUGUGGCCUGUGUGCAGGUGGUGCAUGGCUGUCGUCAGCUCGUGUCGUGAGAUGUUGGGUUAAGUCCCGCAACGAGCGCAACCCUUGUCCUAUGUUGCCAGCGGGUUAUGCCGGGGACUCGUAGGAGACUGCCGGGGUCAACUCGGAGGAAGGUGGGGAUGACGUCAAGUCAUCAUGCCCCUUAUGUCCAGGGCUUCACACAUGCUACAAUGGCCGGUACAAAGGGCUGCGAUGCCGUGAGGUGGAGCGAAUCCUUUCAAAGCCGGUCUCAGUUCGGAUCGGGGUCUGCAACUCGACCCCGUGAAGUCGGAGUCGCUAGUAAUCGCAGAUCAGCAACGCUGCGGUGAAUACGUUCCCGGGCCU